AAAGCCCACCAAGGCGACGAUCUGUAGCUGGUCUGAGAGGACGACCAGCCACACUGGAACUGAGACACGGUCCAGACUCCUACGGGAGGCAGCAGUGGGGAAUUUUGGACAAUGGGCGCAAGCCUGAUCCAGCAAUGCCGCGUGCAGGAUGAAGGCCUUCGGGUUGUAAACUGCUUUUGUACGGAACGAAACGGCUCUUUCUAAUAAAGAGGGCUAAUGACGGUACCGUAAGAAUAAGCACCGGCUAACUACGUGCCAGCAGCCGCGGUAAUACGUAGGGUGCGAGCGUUAAUCGGAAUUACUGGGCGUAAAGCGUGCGCAGGCGGUUAUAUAAGACAGAUGUGAAAUCCCCGGGCCCAACCUGGGACCUGCAUUUGUGACUGUAUAGCUAGAGUACGGUAGAGGGGAUGGAAUUCCGCGUGUAGCAGUGAAAUGCGUAGAUAUGCGGAGGAACACCGAUGGCGAAGGCAAUCCCCUGGACCUGUACUGACGCUCAUGCACGA
This 503-nucleotide ribosomal RNA is filed under the name uncultured bacterium. RNAcentral describes it as "bacterial SSU rRNA". It matches the Rfam family "Bacterial small subunit ribosomal RNA", at positions 260 to 756 of the family's 1533-position model. The record is from RNAcentral.